GAUGAACGCUGGCGGCGUGCCUAAUACAUGCAAGUCGAGCGAACAGACGAGGAGCUUGCUCCUCUGACGUUAGCGGCGGACGGGUGAGUAACACGUGGAUAACCUACCUAUAAGACUGGGAUAACUUCGGAAAACCGGAGCUAAUACCGGAUAAUAUAUUGAACCGCAUGGUUCAAUAGUGAAAGACGGUUUUGCUGUCACUUAUAGAUGGAUCCGCGCCGCAUUAGCUAGUUGGUAAGGUAACGGCUUACCAAGGCAACGAUGCGUAGCCGACCUGAGGGGGGGAUAGGCCGCACUGGAACUGAGACGCGGUCCAGACUCCUACGGGAGGCAGCAGUAGGGAAUCUUCCGCAAUGGGCGAAAGCCUGACGGAGCAACGCCGCGCGAGUGAUGAAGGUCUUCGGAUCGUAAAACUCUGUUAUGAGGGAAGAACAAAUGUGUAAGUAACUAUGCACGUCUUGACGGUACCUAAUCAGAAAGCCACGGCUAACUACGUG
RNAcentral lists this ribosomal RNA (497 nucleotides) under uncultured bacterium. Its description in RNAcentral is "partial 16S ribosomal RNA". It matches the Rfam family "Bacterial small subunit ribosomal RNA", at positions 28 to 507 of the family's 1533-position model. The record is from RNAcentral.